Long non-coding RNA from Drosophila montana, 503 nucleotides. RefSeq lists it as uncharacterized. Lineage: Eukaryota; Metazoa; Arthropoda; Insecta; Diptera; Drosophilidae. The transcript has 4 exons. The record is from RefSeq and is a predicted model, not a curated record.
GAGACAACAUCCUCGGGAGAGUUAUUGAUUUAAGGAUUGAGGAGUAUAUCUGUAUAUCUUUACAUCAAAUAUUUGAGAAGAUGGCCUUCCAGAUAUUCCAACUCAGUAUGCGAAAAAUAAAUAAAAAACGGAAUACAACAAAUUUGAAGAGGACACAAUUCGUGAAGAAAGAACUAAAAUGCAGAAAACGCGUGAGGACUGAUACUAUUUGAUUUCCACACUCUGUAUGAGGAGAAAAUAAGCUCUGUUAUCACUUCGCGUACGUGAUCAUUAAUUCUUAAUAUCCUGACAAGUCCUGUGUCAAACGAAUCGUAUGAACAAGGACCUUAAAGUGUCCAAAGGAUAUCAAAAUCGUCCUUCUACUUUCCAAGAUAUGCGUAUUUUACUAAAAAGGACAUUUUUAAAAAGGCCAUAACUCGGCCAAAUCCUUAAGGAUAUCGGAAGGAUAUACCUUUUUGAACUCGUGGGGACCAGGACUAUCGAUUAUCAUUCAAGAUUUCCAA